Molecule: transfer RNA, 73 nt
Filed under: Vicugna pacos (alpaca)
Lineage: Eukaryota; Metazoa; Chordata; Mammalia; Artiodactyla; Camelidae
Description: tRNA-Ala (AGC) (tRNA-Ala-AGC-747-1)
Rfam family: tRNA
About the family: Transfer RNA (tRNA) molecules are approximately 80 nucleotides in length. Their secondary structure includes four short double-helical elements and three loops (D, anti-codon, and T loops). Further hydrogen bonds mediate the characteristic L-shaped molecular structure. tRNAs have two regions of fundamental functional importance: the anti-codon, which is responsible for specific mRNA codon recognition, and the 3' end, to which the tRNAs corresponding amino acid is attached (by aminoacyl-tRNA synthetases). tRNAs cope with the degeneracy of the genetic code in two manners: having more than one tRNA (with a specific anti-codon) for a particular amino acid; and 'wobble' base-pairing, i.e. permitting non-standard base-pairing at the 3rd anti-codon position.
Source: RNAcentral
GGAGGGUAUAGCUCAGUGGUAGAGUGCCUGCUUAGCAUGCAUGAGGUCCUAGGUUCAAUCCCCAGUACCUCCA